GUGGAAUUUUAAGUAUUCAUCCCGUUUUGUCUGUAUCGCGAAGUUUGGAGUCGUUUUUGUUGAAGCGAUUCCACGCAUUUUCGAGUGCUGAUAUUUUUCGCUUAAAAAUAAAGAGGCCGU
This 120-nucleotide microRNA precursor is filed under the name Drosophila persimilis. RNAcentral describes it as "mir-2528 microRNA precursor family". It matches the Rfam family "mir-2528 microRNA precursor family". The record is from Rfam by way of RNAcentral. Lineage: Eukaryota; Metazoa; Arthropoda; Insecta; Diptera; Drosophilidae.